CACAGUGUGAUCCCAAACAGGAGCCUAUGUUCUGUGUCCAGAGGAUGGUCCAGGAGAUCAUUUUACCUUCUUUAACCUCCUUCUGGGGUGAAGGAAGUGCAAUAAGGGAAAGCUACUUGGCACUGAAGCAAUUAAGUGGGAAAUUAAGUAUUCUUAAGGCCAAAAUGACUGGGGCAUCCAGAGUGCAGGUCAAAAAAGCAAGCCUGCCCUGGUAAGUCAGGGAGAGCUGCCUCCAGUGCUGCUCAGGGUGAGUCUGCAUGGUUUGUGAUAGUUCAAUGGCAUUGAUUUUCCCAUUUUCCCAAGGUCUUUUCUCUUCCCAUGGCUAUGAGUGCUCGACCCAUAGGGCUGUGCUCAUCCACACCAUGUGCAUUUAUUGCAGAGCUGUUUGUGACAAAGGCAGAUUCCAGCAGCCAGGAGCUGUGCUGGGCCGUGGUGUUGUUAUGGGAAACUGCUGAAACAUUGUCUGUUCCCACAUGGAAAUCUCUUUCAGAAGCAGAUUGCACUGUUGUAUUUUAGACUGUGGUGCCUGCUCACAUUAUCCCUCACUGACGUACAGUGAUGAUGCAUAUGUUGGAUCUCACAAUGCUGAGAGAAUUAACACUUUGUGAGUGUUUACCUCCCCCAUUAUUGAUGUUCUGUCAGUAGCAGUGUGCUCAUAUUCUCUGCAGAGAAACUAAAGGCACUGAUAAAAAUCACUGAGCUUCUCUUCUCAUCUAAAUCUCCAGAAGGUGAAAAGCAUGAAGCUGUGUUUCUUAUCCAAAGAGAGCAUGAUCAGAUUAUGCUGCGCAGAGCCCCGGCUGCUCCCACUGCGCGUUGCUGGAGUGCUCAGCACACCUUCGGGGAGAUUAUUGUUCCAAAAGGGGCUAAACACAACUCCUGCCUGUCGGUGCUUCUGGAACAUUUUCUUCUCCCUUUAUCUCUCCUUUUCCCAGAGGAUGCUGUGCUUUGAUGUCUCCGUAACACAGAUCACACUGACACUGAGAGGGAGAGGCGAUGGGCUGCUUGUGCAGUAAAUGGGAAGAUGAACAAACCGUGUGUGACACCUCCCACGUCUCUCGGUGCUGCAGUUCGCUCUGGAGUCCAUCACUGCUGGGUGGGAAGGAAAGACAGGACGCUUUCACACCCCGCUCUCAUUAGCUGUGUGUGCGUGUGUUGCUCUUUUCUCCAGCACUUCUUUCCCUUCUCACAGCAAAACCAUAGGACAGGAAAGGAACACUGUUGGAUUCUAACCUGGGCCUUUAUACACGAAAUCAUUGUAUUCCAAAAAUCGUAUCCCAGGGGCUAAAUAAUAGGAUAGAAACAAUGUUUGCAUGAAAUCCAAAAUCAACACAAGAAAGGAAGUGUUUGCAAUUGCAGUACCCCACCCAAGACAGCCCAGACUAUCCCAGUAUUGCACUGGAAAUGCUAUUUAUUCACACCACCAUAUAACUGCCUUCAGUCAGCAUUACAGGCCUGUCAUUUUCUAAGUGUAUAAUGUAUGGUAAAUACAGGCCUCUGACAGCACAGAAAGAUACAAAAGCCAAGGGUGGGAGGAAGUACAUGCUGCUCUGGCCCAUUUCACAUGCCAGGAGGAGGCAUUUGGAAAAACCUUUGCUGUUCUCACCACAGCACAUCCCUGCACUGACACCCAUGGUACCUGUGCCUGUGCUGUGGUGGGUUGGACUUGAAUUUGCAUCUCCCAGCUAUCCUACACAGAGUGCAGAAUUAUCAUUUGUAACCUAAAAUUCCCACUGAAAUCUUCCUUGGGUAAUCAUUUCUGUGCCCUCUGCCCCUCUGCCCUAACCCAAGUCAGAGGUGCCACGGAGCCGCGGCACGGUGACAGCUCCCGGCUGAAGGAGCGAGCGUGCUGGGGAGCACAGCGAGCUGCUCUGAGUCAAACACGGAGCUCGGACGCUGCUGGGCUGACUGCUUUGAUUUCACUCUACAGCAGAAAGUGCUUGUGGGAACGAAAACAUCCAGCAGGUGCUGAAACCUCAUUCUGAAGUGUGGGAUUUGGAGCUGACACCGACGGGAUGCAAGGCCAGGCUCUGCCCCGGGCUGGGAGGGUCUGUGCAGCUCCCGGCCUGACCUCACACCAGUGUAACGAGUCAUCAGUUCCUCAUUUUCAUCCUGAACAGGGGGACGAUCCCGGGCUGUGCCUGUCUCUCGUUUGGACAGCAAGUGAUAACUGAAUCUGACAUGAUGACACAAUUUCAUAGCUCAUAGGCCCUGGGAACAGAGACUUCUUGUUGGCCAUCCUGCCUGAGAGACCAUUCAAAAAUAAU
Long non-coding RNA from Vidua chalybeata, 2264 nucleotides. RefSeq lists it as uncharacterized. The transcript has 3 exons. Lineage: Eukaryota; Metazoa; Chordata; Aves; Passeriformes; Viduidae. The record is from RefSeq and is a predicted model, not a curated record.